CUUGCCAUUAUUUUGACUUGCACAGCAAUUUAUAUUUUUAGCCUAAAUUUCAAAUCAUAAUACAUAUUUGUGCAUGUGUCUGCUUUCAGUGUACUUUUUGGGGACUUUGAGUGAUUCACCACCCUCUGAACAAAUGUAUUUUGAGAUCCUCAAAGGAAUCCUAGAUUUGUCAUGAAGCCAUAUGUUUUAAUUGCUGCCCAUCAAAUAGUACAGUGUCUUUGUGUAAAUUAGAUUCAUUUUGAGGAAAUAGCUGGUGUGCAGUGCACAUUCCUAAAUGAAUCCAUCAGUUUACAUUAAGGAUCUACCUUCAAAUCCUGUAAUCUGGGAUGCUCUAAAGUGCAUGUCACAGACUAAAGUUAUAAAAAUAACUUCCAAGAAUUUUUAAAAAAUUGUUAUGACUUUAAAAUGUAUGUAUAUAUACUGAUAUUGAAUUAAAUUUUAUAAAAUUUUAACAUCUGAUUUUAUGUAUAUAUAGACAUAUUGUAAAGAUUUUCCACUCUAAAGGUUUAAUUUCUUUAAUAUUUAAGACCCAAAAAAA
Molecule: long non-coding RNA, 538 nt
Organism: Ostrea edulis (European flat oyster)
Lineage: Eukaryota; Metazoa; Mollusca; Bivalvia; Ostreida; Ostreidae
Exons: 3
Source: RefSeq, a predicted model, not a curated record